UGGGGAAUUUUGGACAAUGGGCGAAAGCCUGAUCCAGCAAUGCCGCGUGUGUGAAGAAGGCCUUCGGGUUGUAAAGCACUUUUGUCCGGAAAGAAAUCCUUGGCUCUAAUACAGUCGGGGGAUGACGGCACCGGAAGAAUAAGCACCGGCUAACUACGUGCCAGCAGCCGCGGUAAUACGUAGGGUGCAAGCGUUAAUCGGAAUUACUGGGCGUAAAGCGUGCGCAGGCGGUUUGCUAAGACCGAUGUGAAAUCCCCGGGCUCAACCUGGGAACUGCAUUGGUGACUGGCAGGCUAGAGUAUGGCAGAGGGGGGUAGAAUUCCACGUGUAGCAGUGAAAUGCGUAGAGAUGUGGAGGAAUACCGAUGGCGAAGGCAGCCCCCUGGGCCAAUACUGACGCUCAUGCACGAAAGCGUGGGGAGCAAACAGGAUUAGAUACCCUGGUAGUCCACGCCCUAAACGAUGUCAACUAGUUGUUGGGGAUUCAUUUCCUUAGUAACGUAGCUAACGCGUGAAGUUGACCGCCUGGGGGAGUACGGUCGCAAGAUUAAAACUUAAAUGAAUUGACGGGGUCAUAGCUGUUUCCU
Molecule: ribosomal RNA, 586 nt
Filed under: uncultured bacterium
Lineage: Bacteria
Description: partial 16S ribosomal RNA
Rfam family: Bacterial small subunit ribosomal RNA
Source: RNAcentral